RNAcentral lists this ribosomal RNA (526 nucleotides) under uncultured bacterium. RNAcentral's name for it is "bacterial SSU rRNA". It matches the Rfam family "Bacterial small subunit ribosomal RNA", at positions 337 to 863 of the family's 1533-position model. The record is from RNAcentral.
UCCUACGGGAGGCAGCAGUGAGGAAUAUUGGACAAUGGAGGAAACUCUGAACCAGCCAUGCCGCGUGCAGGAUGACUGCCCUAUGGGUUGUAAACUGCUUUUAUACGGGAAGAAACCCCCGAACGUGUUCGGAGCUGAAGGUACCGUAAGAAUAAGGAUCGGCUAACUCCGUGCCAGCAGCCGCGGUAAUACGGAGGAUCCAAGCGUUAUCCGGAUUCAUUGGGUUUAAAGGGUCCGCAGGCGGGAUAUUAAGUCAGUGGUGAAAGCCUACAGCUUAACUGUCGAAUUGCCAUUGAUACUGGUACUCUUGAGUGUAGUUGAGGUGGGCGGAAUAAGUCAUGUAGCGGUGAAAUGCAUAGAUAUGACUUAGAACACCGAUUGCGAAGGCAGCUCACUAAACUACUACUGACGCUCAGGGACGAAAGCGUGGGGAGCGAACAGGAUUAGAUACCCUGGUAGUCCACGCCGUAAACGAUGAUCACUCGCUGUUGGCGAUAUACAGUCAGCGGCCAAGCGAAAGCAUUAA